RNAcentral lists this ribosomal RNA (269 nucleotides) under uncultured prokaryote. RNAcentral's name for it is "partial 16S ribosomal RNA". It matches the Rfam family "Bacterial small subunit ribosomal RNA", at positions 524 to 792 of the family's 1533-position model. The record is from RNAcentral.
UACGUAGGGAGCGAGCGUUGUCCGGAAUUACUGGGCGUAAAGGGUGCGUAGGCGGCUAGGCAAGUCAGAUGUGAAAUCCCCGGGCUUAACUCGGGAGUUGCAUUUGAAACUGCUAAGCUUGAGUGCAGGAGAGGAAAGCGGAAUUCCUAGUGUAGCGGUGAAAUGCGUAGAUAUUAGGAGGAACACCAGUGGCGAAGGCGGCUUUCUGGACUGUAACUGACGCUGAGGCACGAAAGCGUGGGGAGCAAACAGGAUUAGAUACCCUGGUA